Cucurbita maxima (winter squash) is the source of this 87-nucleotide long non-coding RNA. RefSeq lists it as uncharacterized. The transcript is spliced from 3 exons. The record is from RefSeq and is a predicted model, not a curated record. Lineage: Eukaryota; Viridiplantae; Streptophyta; Magnoliopsida; Cucurbitales; Cucurbitaceae.
CUUUUAUCCGUUGAGCGAGGGCCCUUCCACUCGGCACCGUCGGAUCACUAAGGCUGACUUUCGUCCCUGCUGGACUUGUCAGUUUCG